AGCCCCGCCCCGGCCCGGAGCUGCGCGCGCCGCGGGGAGGGCGCGGGCCGGGCGGCGCCGGGCGAAAAGAGGCGCGCGCGGGACCUCGCUCGUCGCCCUCCCCCCCCCGGGCUGGGGCGCGGGGGUCCCCGCUUUGCUUUUCGCCCCCGGGCUGCCCCCGCCGCCGGGAAGAGCCGAGCCGAGCCGAGCCGAGCCGCGCGGGUGGGUGGGUGAGAGCGGGCAGCCCCCGAGGCUCUGGGGGUCCCGCCUGCCCCGCCCUGCCCCGGCGGUGUGAGGCCGAGCCGGCCCCGCGUGGGUGUCCAGGCUGCUAAGACCACAUCCAUUCCCGGUGCGAGUCCUGCUCAAGCGCCUGGGCCGCCCCAGCAAAGCCAUCGCCCUCUCGGCCUCGCUCGCCCGCCUCGCCGCCCUGGGCUUGUGCCUGGCCCGACUCCAGAGCUGGACCUGGGCCUCGCGCGCCUUGCACACGCGGCCCGGUCUCUGCCAGGGUGCAAAUUGUGUCCUGAGAUUUAAUGUCUGUAAAGUGCUUUUUUGAAGAUUGAAAGUCAGACAUGAGAGUCGGGUACUCCUGCGUGAGCGUGACCGACAGCCUUCCCUGCGAGGUGGAUGUACAAAGAGCUGUGAGCUCCUCUCUAGGGACGACUGUAUACCUCCAGGCAUCGCCUCCAGGGAUGUUUGCCCACAACCCCUGAACAGAAGCCCUCCUCAUUCUAUGUAUGACCUAAAAGUGUGCCCCAAAUCAGAUUGGCUACAUUUGUAGCAACUGUAAUUGCAACAACAAAAUGGCCACGGAAGAAAAUGGAAACAAGAUUAUAUAGAAAGAGGCCCUGCAUUGAGCAAAAUGCUUUAAAGCAUGUGCUGACAGUUAAGUACCUGCCCACCUGCACUGCUUAACUGCAGCCUCAGUAAUCAGAGCCUCUGCUCCAGAUCUGCAGGAGGAAAUGCUAUAAAAAGAGCCAUGCCCAGAGCCAUGUAUGAAAGCAGAGAAUCCUACUCCUUUCACCUCUGCCACAUUCACAGGCCCCUACAGCAGCCACCAUACCCACCCCAGACUCCAUGAGACCUCAUGGGGUGGGUUAACAGCCCCCUGGCACAGAGUGAUCACAGAAUGGGAGAGACAGAAACAUGUUUUAAACCUGAGUGAGCAGACCAUACAUCACACCUAGGCCUGAAAGGUUGAGGGUGACUGGAGCAUUCAGCCAUGUAGGGCACUAGCCUGUUUCACAAGUAUCCAGGACAAAAUACCUAAGCAGAGGAUUUGUGCUCAUCACUGAUGCCACUGCAGCGAUUCCCAAACUUGUCCAUGGACCCCAGAGCACUUUCUGCACCUAUGGAGAGCGGCACGGUCACGUGGGGAUGGCUUCUUGUCCAUGUUCCCUGUUGCAUCACAUGUAAAAAUGCUACAAACUUCACCUUCUUCCCCAUGUUGCUUUCCCCAGGGAUGCUUUGAGAUCUGAAAUGAAGGUAAUUCUAGACAGAGGAUGGGUACUCUGUGCUAAAGAGCAGAGGAAGUGUCAGCAUGAUUACCAAUGGCAGAACAGGGGUUCACAUGGCAACUUCUCCACUGCUGCUCCUCUGCCAGAAUUUGAGAAACCUGGAGCUCCAAGAUCUCUCACUUGCAGGCACAAAGAGUCACUGCCUGCAGAUGGCACUGUUGCUCCUUACAAAAUCAACUGCACAUGCUCAUUCAUGUGGUUCAGGGCUUCUCCAGCAUCUCCCGUGACUGUACGUAUUGUACAUCUGUGUCUGAGUCAGCACGUUAGGUUUCCUAGAAUCUUUGCACAUGUAACUCAGGAGGUUGCUGCCGGCCAACUCUUCAAAUCUGCCUCCAUAUUUAUGCUUCAUUUACAUAAAUGAGAACUCCUGUUAGAAAUUACAGAGCUGAGUGAAGAGGUUAAUCAUAAAGAUCAUAGAAGAGUAGGGCUGGCAUGGACUUCAGGUCAUCUAGCCCAAUCCACUGCUCAAAGCAGGAUCAUCCCUAUCUAAGUAUGCCAAAGAGAAAGGCUGUUAACCCCUCAGUUUAUUGUUGCAGCUCUGACUUGGGGGCGGCCAUCUGUGCAUAGAGGCUGUAUACCAGGAGAGAUGUUUGAACGGUCCUCUUCUGAAAAUCAGGGAAGUUAGACCUUGACCCUGUACAGACUUAACUAAACAUCUCAGUGAGCUCAAUGGGGCUAUUCACUGAUGUCCCCUAAAAUUAAACGUGUGCAAGCCUGCAGAACUGAUGGGCAAUCUCCCACAAAAACUUCAGGUUAGCUGUUCAUAGCCCAGCCCCACUGUUGUCAAACUGAAAGUAUGCCUCCCCCAGAUUGACUUGAUUAGGAAAUUACAAGGAGAGGGCUGCUCAUUAAAGACCAGGCUAUAAAAGCUGUGGUAGCUGUAUCAGUAGAUUAAGUAUGGUGCUCAAGAAAUCUUCUGUAGUAGAAAAAGGAUUUUAGAAGAGUGAGUGACUCUUGGAAGGCUCUACAAUGUCAUCCAUCCACAGAAGCAAUGCCAGUAUCAUGACACUAAAGGAAAUCAUGGAACUUGGAUUUGUGGCAGGUGUCUCCAGCUAUACCUACUCAUCUCCAGUUAAUAACUACACAGAAACUAACAGUACCUCUAAGCCAGAUGGUUGGGAUGGUCUCCUUGACUUGGAAAGCAUGAUGAUGAUAAAAGGCAGUCCUCAGCAUACUUUCACAAGACCCGAGUCCUCUCUGACCAGCAGUAUGAAGGGUGAAUUGCACAGUCAGAUCCAAGGCAUUUGUGAUGGUGGCCUUGCUUCCUUCUGCAAGACCCCGAGUGGUCAUGUUGCCUUUGACUUGUCCAAUCUGGUUUCUGAAUACAGCAGAGUCGAUUACACUGUGGAUAUAUAUUAUGAUACUAAGUCCUCUACACCAUGCAGGGAAGAGAAGUGCCUCCAGUCAAUGGAGAACUUGCUCUCCAAGAGCUCAGAGACGGUAAUUGAUUUGUCAAAUAUCAGGAGGCCACCCCCACCUAUAUUGGAAAUAUCUGAGAUACAAGCCCCUCUGGACAAUAUUCUGUCCCUUGAUGUGAGUGCUGAAGAGCCAAGAUCACUGGGAUUUGUGAAAACAGAUGCCUUAUCUCUGGAGACGUCUUCCUCUGCUAUUAUUUUGCCUUGGGCUGCUACUAGCAAAAGACACUGUAUUCCUGCCUUGGUGUCUAUUUGUUAUGAUAAGUGAGCCAGAGCCUGUAGCUGUGGUUCUGUCUCAACACCUAUGAUUCUACAUUGUAGAGCAAAGCUAUGAUGAAUGCACCAGAAGAGUUUCUACUUCCAUUAUCAGAGUUUUUAGCGUUGACUCUGUUUUGCCUUUGACCAUCAGUUGCUGUGUUUUUGAAGCUGGCUUGCAUCUCCACAGCUGCCACUCCUUCUCCCCACCACUAGCUCAAAAUCUAGAGAGAUGGACUAGCCGAGUACAACCUAUGACACAUCAGUGUGUAUUUGCAGCAUGCAAAGAGGCUAGUACUUAAAGCUAAAUUACUGCACUGAACUGUAGGGAUGCUUGUGUUUGGACAAACACUAAUUUUGGUCUAUAGUUGUCUAUAUAGUAAUGAAUUACUGGAGGUUUGUCAGAUUUGAUUAUAAUGGCUCUGAGUAACUUUGUUUACUGAAUAAAGCACUACUGUCACUUGAA
Long non-coding RNA from Alligator mississippiensis (American alligator), 3629 nucleotides. RefSeq lists it as uncharacterized. The transcript has 2 exons. The record is from RefSeq and is a predicted model, not a curated record. NCBI's taxonomy places the organism in Eukaryota, Metazoa, Chordata, Crocodylia, Alligatoridae.